This is a long non-coding RNA of Triticum aestivum (bread wheat), 2562 nucleotides long. RefSeq lists it as uncharacterized. Lineage: Eukaryota; Viridiplantae; Streptophyta; Magnoliopsida; Poales; Poaceae. The transcript is spliced from 3 exons. The record is from RefSeq and is a predicted model, not a curated record.
UGAAACCCGCAGUCCUCAUGAAAGUCAACCGAACCGGUACAGAGGAGAUAAAAGAAAACCCAGCCACGACUCUGCCUUCCUAUCCCAUCUCCGCCUCAAUCGCGCCACCACCUCCUGCUGCCCCACAUCGCCGCGCGCCGCCGCCUGUCUAACUCCUCCCGUAAAUCGGCUCGGGAGAGAGGAGGGGAGGGGAAGAUCCCAUGGAGGCGGAGGAACACCAAACGUCCUUGCCUGCAGCGCACCCAUGAGAUCCAAUUGCUGACAGCGGGCUGAGUCAAGUUCAGGGGGGCGCUUCCUGGACUGGUCGGCUGACAUCCCGUGUUGGGUGGCGACGGCCUGUGCGAGCCAUCGGGCAAGGAAGUUGUAAGGACGACGUCCAGCCUCAGCCUUCAUGUUGGUUAUUGUAGCCUGAGAAGAGGAGCUGCAGAUUCAGAGUGUAUGUGAUAUCCCUACUAGAUGAGUCCUACCAGAUUGCUACAGCAUUCAUGCAGGGAAUAGGCAAAAGGAGAGGUAUUGGCACUUCAGAAAAGGGUGUUGGCUGUUCUGAUUGAGGCCAGGCAUGAAAUCUCUUAUUUCAUUGUUAGUUCUUUGUUGAAGCUGUACUUAUUUUGCGUAGCAUUUCAGGCAAUGUUUAGACUUCAGAUAACACAUGUCCCUAGAUUACAUAGUAUGCAUGCCCUCUGUUACCUGCUGAAUGUCUCUGGGGUUUCUAAAAAUGUUCAGAAUAAUCUAAAUUUCAGAAAUUCUUCGUGGAUUAUGAUUGGUAGUUAUAUGCCACCAGAUAGCAAGACUGCUACUUGAACAAUUUGUUAUCCAUGAAGCUUAGGUGUGCUACACGAACUAAAUUUGCUAUCAUUUUCCACCAUUUUCUAAGGCCAGCAGAGCCAGACACACUUUAGUUACCCUAAGGAAGUACUUUUACCCUUUUUUUUGUCAAUGACCCACCAGUCACCACAAGUUCAAAUGAUUAGUUUAUUGAAAUUCAUUAACAGUACAUAUUUACUGCUGUUUAUUUGCAUAUGUGAUAUCUCAAUUUCACUUCUCAACAUGAUAUUUGCAGCUUAUUCAUUACUCAACCGACCUGCUUUUGUUGUAAUUUUUUAUUCGCGUUUCUCAGAUUUAUUUGAUGUCCAAUGCUAUAUUAUGUGCAUCUAUGAACCAUAAUUUGAUUGUGUUUAGUGCGUCCUGCACGAUUGACUUGAAAAGUACCUCAAUGCAGCCUUGUGAGUCAUAUGUAUGGUGCAUUUAGUUCCUUUUUCCAUUUAUUAUACACUGUACUAUUUUGACAUACCCCUUAAGAUGAUUGAAACAACCCCCUUAAGAUGAUUGAAAUAAUAUUGUUAUGCAUGAUUAUUGAUAACUCGGCUGAUUAGGUAGUAAAUGGUAACUAUACCAUGUACGAUGCAUUUCCCCUUCAAAAUGUAGCAUAUGUUUUUAUUAAUUUUUGGAUGCAAAACCAUCUGCACACUAGCAUGCAUCCACCCUUUCAAAGAAAAUAAUAAAAUGAUAUCAGUAGUUCAGCACGAUUGGAAGAUAUCAGUAGUUCAGCACACCAUGGCAGCACGUGCGUGGCCAGCCAAUGUACGCUCUACUAGCACCAUAGUGAAUUCCAGCGACCUACGGCUAGGAAGUGCAUGAGCUGAUGCUAGCAUGCCCUGACAAAACAUGAAAAAACUGGCUCUCUGAUGUAACUACCGCCUAAGAGGUUGUUUCGAUACAGUUAUCGUAUUUUAGAGAAUAAUUACCAGGUUCUCUGAUGUAGUUGACAUGUUCUCUGAUGUAUUUUAGAAAAUAAUUACAGCUAGCUCGGCGACAAGGGCUCUGGGUCAUCAGCUUCGGCAAGUGGAGGUACAAGUUCAGGCACGACGAGCUUUUUCCCGUAAAGAUGUGACAUUGGUGUUUGAAUCUUCCUUCUGAUCCUGUUAAUGAUAACGAGGUUCUCUUGAUAGAAUGUGAAGUUGUCCCUUGUUUUGUUAGCCUUUGCGCUAUAUUGUGUUCUUCGUCAAACACAAAUCGCUACCAACAGGGUGUGGUGUGGACCCGUGGACUUCCACGACACAGCCUUCAGCACUGUUCCAACAUGCUCUGGUCCUCGGACUCUAUCUGUUUGUACAACGUCAAAGACAGCGUGAUGGUUGCCUCCGGACAAUGGCAGGCAUUCUUCCUGAAGCAGGAGGACAUGCAUGUCCCGAUUCAAUGGCGAUGUGUAGAGGUGUUGCCCUGUCACAUGAGCAGCCACAUGGUGACUGUCUUCACGGGACUUCUUCUUUCUACCAAGAGCACCGGCUUCCUGAAGGGACAAAACUAUGGAGGGGCGGUGAACAGAUGAUGUUGGAGUACUACAUGUGGUGUGUUCCUGCAGCACAAACAUGGUAGCCACGUCUAGCUCCGCCUCGGGGCUUCCUCUACUCAUUAAUUUUGCUUUGUGCAUGAUAUCUCCCGUUAAGUUCACCAGGAUCACGUUAAGUUUUUCUCCCGUUGCAACGCACGGGCAUUUGUGCUAUUAAUAAUAAAGCACGGAUUGACUUUAUCGGGUUCACCGUCACAAUACGCUUCUUCCCA